UACGUAGGGGGCAAGCGUUGUCCGGAUUUACUGGGCGUAAAGAGCGCGUAGGCGGUAGCUUAAGUGUGGCCUGAAAGCCCCCGGCUCAACCGGGGAGGGUGGCUGCAAACUGGGCUUCUUGAGGUCGAUAGAGGAGAGCGGAAUUCCUGGUGUAGCGGUGAAAUGCGUAGAUAUCAGGAGGAACACCGGUGGCGAAGGCGGCUCGCUGGGUCGGACCUGACGCUGAGGCGCGAAAGCGUGGGGAGCGAACGGG
This 253-nucleotide ribosomal RNA is filed under the name uncultured bacterium. RNAcentral's name for it is "partial 16S ribosomal RNA". It matches the Rfam family "Bacterial small subunit ribosomal RNA", at positions 524 to 776 of the family's 1533-position model. The record is from RNAcentral.